UACGGAGGGGGCUAGCGUUGUUCGGAAUUACUGGGCGUAAAGCGCACGUAGGUGGCUUUGUAAGUUAGAGGUGAAAGCCCGGGGCUCAACUCCGGAAUUGCCUCUAAGACUGCAUCGCUAGAACGUCGGAGAGGUAAGUGGAAUUCCGAGUGUAGAGGUGAAAUUCGUAGAUAUUCGGAAGAACACCAGUGGCGAAGGCGACUUACUGGACGACUGUUGACACUGAGGUGCGAAAGCGUGGGGAGCAAACAGG
This 253-nucleotide ribosomal RNA is filed under the name uncultured bacterium. RNAcentral describes it as "partial 16S ribosomal RNA". It matches the Rfam family "Bacterial small subunit ribosomal RNA", at positions 524 to 776 of the family's 1533-position model. The record is from RNAcentral.